GCAUACCUAAAUACCUUAAAGGCACCCGAUCACAUCUGAUCUUAGAAACUAAGCAGAGUCAGCUGCAGUUAGUACUGGGAUGGGAGACCACCAAUGAAUAUCAGGUGCUGUAGGCU
RNAcentral lists this ribosomal RNA (116 nucleotides) under Anolis carolinensis (green anole). Lineage: Eukaryota; Metazoa; Chordata; Lepidosauria; Squamata; Anolidae. The record is from RNAcentral.